Molecule: long non-coding RNA, 374 nt
Organism: Carassius gibelio (silver crucian carp)
Lineage: Eukaryota; Metazoa; Chordata; Actinopteri; Cypriniformes; Cyprinidae
Exons: 2
Source: RefSeq, a predicted model, not a curated record
UGGGCCGCAAGUUCACCCUGGUAACCGACCACGCGCCCCUACAGUGGAUGGCCCGCGCCAAGGACACCAACGCCAGGGUGACUCGCUGGUUCCUAGCGCUCCAGGACUUCCACUUCGAAGUCCGCCAUCGAGCUGGGGCCGCCAACGCGAACGCCGAUGGCCUCUCCCGGAUCUGGACAGCUUAUGCAGAAAGCAGCGAGUGACCGACAGCCCACACCCUUUGGAGCACGUCAGGACACCCACUUUCCCCUUGAUUGGCACAGAGGAGCACGGAGAGCACACGGGGAGCACCAACCAGCGGAAAGCAGAUCAGGACACUUCACCAGGCACCCUUCACUUUUCAAUAAACCCACCCUCCGGGGCUUUUGAUUUCA